CGUAGGGUGCGAGCGCUAAUCGGAAUUACUGGGCGUAAAGCGUGCGCAGGCGGUUUUGUAAGACAGAUGUGAAAUCCCCGGGCUCAACCUGGGACCUGCAUUUGUGACUGCAAGGCUAGAGUACGGUAGAGGGGGAUGGGAAUUCCGCGUGUAGCAGUGAAAUGCGUAGAUAUGCGGAGGAACACCGAUGGCGAAGGCAAUCCCCUGGAUCUGUACUGACGCUCAUGCACGAAAGCGUGGGGAGCAAACAGGAUUAGAUACCCUGGUAGUCCACGCCCUAAACGAUGUCAACUGGUUGUUGGGUCUUUACUGACUCAGUAACGAAGCUAACGCGUGAAGUUGACCGCCUGGGGAGUACGGCCGCAAAGGUUG
This 372-nucleotide ribosomal RNA is filed under the name uncultured organism. Its description in RNAcentral is "bacterial SSU rRNA". It matches the Rfam family "Bacterial small subunit ribosomal RNA", at positions 526 to 896 of the family's 1533-position model. The record is from RNAcentral.